AAAAUGAAAUCUGAGUAGAGAAGACAGUCA
This 30-nucleotide non-coding RNA is filed under the name Cricetulus griseus (Chinese hamster). The record is from RNAcentral. Lineage: Eukaryota; Metazoa; Chordata; Mammalia; Rodentia; Cricetidae.